Molecule: long non-coding RNA, 1281 nt
Filed under: Gouania willdenowi (blunt-snouted clingfish)
Lineage: Eukaryota; Metazoa; Chordata; Actinopteri; Blenniiformes; Gobiesocidae
Description: lncRNA (ENSGWIG00000017771.1)
Source: RNAcentral
GCUAUUCUGUACAUUACGUGUUGUUAAAGUUAAUAGUAUUCAUAGAUCUGCUUGACAAUGUCAUAUAUUCUCCUUUUUCUAUGAUAGUGUAAUGUUGCUAGGCGACCAGCCUGCUAACUAAACGUUAGCUAAAUACUCUCUGGGUUCUAGACUCAAACACGCUGUAAUUCAGUCUUUAGAUCAAUGUGUCCAACUUGUGAUACAGUAAAAUCAACACCACUGUGAACAUUUGAACACACUGUCAGACUCAGAUCCACCUUUUUCACUCAAUGAUGUUCUGAUGAACUUACUGCAGCACUGCCAACAGUAGUUGUUGAUGUAACUCACUUUCCUUUACACAGGAGAUCUGAUCUUUAGAUAUUGGUGUAUUUUUUUAUUCAGCCUCUGUUGAUCAUCAUAACUUCAUAGCAUUUAUUCAGACAUUCUCAACACAGACACAUGGUGAUACAGGACUGUGGACCAGAACAUGUUAUCAGGAGAUACAAAUGAUUUCAGCCUGUCUCACUGUGCCUGAUAGAAAAUGUAUCCCCUCUAUAAUCCUCAGGUGAUGGACUAACAUCAUCUGCUUUAUUCUGUACACAUUUAUCAUCAUUCAUAAUAAAACUUGUGAAUUAGGAACAGUUUCACUUUUGUGGAGAAGAAGAACAUGAGACAGAUGUGACCUCAUGCUUUGUGUUCUCAGAUGGUUCCACUUUUAGGCGUCCGGAAAGAAGAUAUGUCGUGUUGACUUCAAAAUAGUGUUGGAUGAAUCUUAUAAGAUGGGAACAGGUCCUGAUAGAAAAAACAGGCUGUGAUCAGUGGGAGGGGCCUAUAAUGUCACUGUAAAAUCCUUCGCCGUCACAUUCUAAAUGAUGUAUCUUUGCUAUUUUUUCAAUGACUCAGAGACACUUCUGUCUAUCUCUCUGUCUGUGUGGCUGUCUGUUUUGUGUCUGUCUGUCUGUCUGUGUAGCUGUGUGUGUCUGUACGUGUGUCUGUGUGUGUGUGUGUAUCUGUCUGUUGGUGUGUCUGUCUGUCUGUGUAGCUGUGUGUGUCUGUCUGUUGGUGUGUCUGUCUGUUUGUCUGUGUGUUUGUCUGUCUGUGUGGCUGUGUCUGUCUGUCUGUGUGUGUCUGUCUGUCUGUUGGUGUGUCUGUCUAUCUGUGUAUGUGUGUGUGUGUCUUUCUGUGUAUGUCUGCCUGUCUGUUUGUCUGUCUAAUUGUCUGUCUGUCUGUGUGUCUGUCUGCCUGUCUGUCUGUUUGUCUGUCUAUGUUUCUGCCUGCCUGUCUGUGUGUGUGACUGUGUAA